Molecule: ribosomal RNA, 292 nt
Filed under: uncultured bacterium
Lineage: Bacteria
Description: partial 16S ribosomal RNA
Rfam family: Bacterial small subunit ribosomal RNA
Source: RNAcentral
GUGCCAGCCGCCGCGGUAAUACAGAGGCCUCAAGCGUUGUUCGGAAUUACUGGGCGUAAAGGGAAUGUAGGCGGCGGCGUAAGUCAGAUGUGAAAGCCCUGGGCUUAACCCGGGAAGUGCAUUUGAUACUGCGUCGCUGGAGUGCAGAAGAGGAAAGCGGAAUUCCAGGUGUAGGGGUGAAAUCCGUAGAUAUCUGGAGGAAUACCGAUGGCGAAGGCAGCUUUCUGGUCUGUAACUGACGCUGAGAUUCGAAAGCGUGGGUAGCAAACAGGAUUAGAUACCCCGGUAGUCC